AGACAGCAGUAGCCGCGGUAAUACAGAGGGUGCGAGCGUUAAUCGGAUUUACUGGGCGUAAAGCGUGCGUAGGCGGCUUCUUAAGUCGGAUGUGAAAUCCCUGAGCUUAACUUAGGAAUUGCAUUCGAUACUGGGAAGCUAGAGUAUGGGAGAGGAUGGUAGAAUUCCAGGUGUAGCGGUGAAAUGCGUAGAGAUCUGGAGGAAUACCGAUGGCGAAGGCAGCCAUCUGGCCUAAUACUGACGCUGAGGUACGAAAGCAUGGGGAGCAAACAGGAUUAGAUACCCGGGUAGUCUCUGUCUCUUAUAC
RNAcentral lists this ribosomal RNA (307 nucleotides) under uncultured bacterium. Its description in RNAcentral is "partial 16S ribosomal RNA". It matches the Rfam family "Bacterial small subunit ribosomal RNA", at positions 506 to 807 of the family's 1533-position model. The record is from RNAcentral.